GUCUACAGCCAUGCUACCUUGAACAGGCCCGAUCCUGUCAGAUCUCAGAAGCUAAGCACGGUCGGGCCUGGUUAGUACUCAGCUGGGAGACCACCUAGGAAGACCGGGUACUGUAGGUG
RNAcentral lists this ribosomal RNA (119 nucleotides) under Pteropus alecto (black flying fox). Lineage: Eukaryota; Metazoa; Chordata; Mammalia; Chiroptera; Pteropodidae. The record is from RNAcentral.